GAUGAACGCUGGCGGCGUGCCUAAUACAUGCAAGUCGAGCGAACGGACGAGAAGCUUGCUUUUCUGAUGUUAGCGGCGGACGGGUGAGUAACACGUGGAUAACCUACCUAUAAGACUGGGAUAACUUCGGGAAACCGGAGCUAAUACCGGAUAAUAUUUUGAACCGCAUGGUUCAAAAGUGAAAGACGGUCUUGCUGUCACUUAUAGAUGGAUCCGCGCUGCAUUAGCUAGUUGGUAAGGUAACGGCUUACCAAGGCAACGAUGCAUAGCCGACCUGAGAGGGUGAUCGGCCACACUGGAACUGAGACACGGUCCAGACUCCUACGGGAGGCAGCAGUAGGGAAUCUUCCGCAAUGGGCGAAAGCCUGACGGAGCAACGCCGCGUGAGUGAUGAAGGUCUUCGGAUCGUAAAACUCUGUUAUUAGGGAAGAACAUAUGUGUAAGUAACUGUGCACAUCUUGACGGUACCUAAUCAGAAAGCCACGGCUAACUACGUGCCAGCAGCCGCGGUAAUACGUAGGUGGCAAGCGUUAUCCGGAAUUAUUGGGCGUAAAGCGCGCGUAGGCGGUUUUUUAAGUCUGAUGUGAAAGCCCACGGCUCAACCGUGGAGGGUCAUUGGAAACUGGAAAACUUGAGUGCAGAAGAGGAAAGUGGAAUUCCAUGUGUAGCGGUGAAAUGCGCAGAGAUGUGGAGGAACACCAGUGGCGAAGGCGACUUUCUGGUCUGUAACUGACGCUGAUGUGCGAAAGCGUGGGGAUCAAACAGGAUUAGAUACCCUGGUAGUCCACGCCGUAAACGAUGAGUGCUAAGUGUUAGGGGGUUUCCGCCCCUUAGUGCUGCAGCUAACGCAUUAAGCACUCCGCCUGGGGAGUACGACCGCAAGGUUGAAACUCAAAGGAAUUGACGGGGGCCCGCACAAGCGGUGGAGCAUGUGGUUUAAUUCGAAGCAACGCGAAGAACCUUACCAAAUCUUGACAUCCUUUGACAACUCUAGAGAUAGAGCCUUCCCCUUCGGGGGACAAAGUGACAGGUGGUGCAUGGUUGUCGUCAGCUCGUGUCGUGAGAUGUUGGGUUAAGUCCCGCAACGAGCGCAACCCUUAAGCUUAGUUGCCAUCAUUAAGUUGGGCACUCUAAGUUGACUGCCGGUGACAAACCGGAGGAAGGUGGGGAUGACGUCAAAUCAUCAUGCCCCUUAUGAUUUGGGCUACACACGUGCUACAAUGGGCAAUACAAAGGGCAGCGAAACCGCGAGGUCAAGCAAAUCCCAUAAAGUUGUUCUCAGUUCGGAUUGUAGUCUGCAACUCGACUACAUGAAGCUGGAAUCGCUAGUAAUCGUAGAUCAGCAUGCUACGGUGAAUACGUUCCCGGGUCU
This 1372-nucleotide ribosomal RNA is filed under the name uncultured bacterium. RNAcentral describes it as "bacterial SSU rRNA". It matches the Rfam family "Bacterial small subunit ribosomal RNA", at positions 28 to 1381 of the family's 1533-position model. The record is from RNAcentral.